UACGGAGGAUGCAAGCGUUAUCCGGAAUGAUUGGGCGUAAAGCGUCCGCAGGUGGCUAUGUAAGUCUGCUGUUAAAGAGUCUAGCUCAACUAGAUAAGAGCAGUGGAAACUACAUAGCUAGAGUGCGUUCGGGGCAGAGGGAAUUCCUGGUGUAGCGGUGAAAUGCGUAGAGAUCAGGAAGAACACCGGUGGCGAAGGCGCUCUGCUAGGCCGCAACUGACACUGAGGGACGAAAGCUAGGGGAGCGAAUGGG
This 253-nucleotide ribosomal RNA is filed under the name uncultured bacterium. Its description in RNAcentral is "partial 16S ribosomal RNA". It matches the Rfam family "Bacterial small subunit ribosomal RNA", at positions 524 to 776 of the family's 1533-position model. The record is from RNAcentral.